UCCUACGGGAGGCAGCAGUGGGGAAUAUUGCACAAUGGGCGCAAGCCUGAUGCAGCGACACCGCGUGAGGGAUGACGGCCUUCGGGUUGUAAACCUCUUUCGCCAGGGACGAAGCUUCGGUGACGGUACCUGGAGAAGAAGCACCGGCCAACUACGUGCCAGCAGCCGCGGUAAUACGUAGGGUGCGAGCGUUGUCCGGAAUUACUGGGCGUAAAGAGCUCGUAGGCGGUUUGUCGCGUCGUCUGUGAAAUUCUGCAACUCAAUUGUAGGCGUGCAGGCGAUACGGGCAGACUUGAGUACUACAGGGGAGACUGGAAUUCCUGGUGUAGCGGUGAAAUGCGCAGAUAUCAGGAGGAACACCGGUGGCGAAGGCGGGUCUCUGGGUAGUAACUGACGCUGAGGAGCGAAAGCGUGGGUAGCGAACAGGAUUAGAUACCCUGGUAGUCCACGCCGUAAACGGUGGGUACUAGGUGUGGGUUCCUUUUCACGGGAUCCGUGCCGUAGCUAACGCAUUAAGUACCCCGCCUGGGGAGUACGGCCGCAAGGCUAAAACUCAAAGGAAUUGACGGAAUCUG
Molecule: ribosomal RNA, 575 nt
Filed under: uncultured bacterium
Lineage: Bacteria
Description: bacterial SSU rRNA
Rfam family: Bacterial small subunit ribosomal RNA
Source: RNAcentral